CGGCGUAUCAUUCAAGUAUUCAUUUACAUUAUUUUUAUGUUGUGACCUCUGAGCUCCAGAUUGGGACAGAGGGAAUCAGCAUAAUUUUUUGUGGUGCAUUUACUUGAUUGGUGCUUGGGGAUGUUUGAGGCAGAUUUGUUUCCGUCGUUUUGAGGCCAGCUUGCUGGUACCCAAACGGUGUUAGCAUUUUUUGUCUUGGGCAUUUGAGUAUGGCUCACGUGUAUUUAUUGGACAGAUCUGAGUGUAAGUUACGGUCGCAUGCGACACGUGCUUUUCAAUUAGUUCGGUCCAGUUAAUGCUCUCGUACUCGUUCCCCAUGUAAAAGCCGGUCAUCUAUCCGACCCGUCUUGAAACACGGACCAAGGAGUUUAUCGUGUGCGCAAGUUUUUGGGUGUUAAAAACUUAAAAGCGAAAUGAAAGUAAAUGACUCUUUAGAGUCUGAUGUGCGAUCUUGUAAAAAAGUGUAGCAUGGCCCCAUUCUAACUGUUUACAGUAGGGUGGCGGAAGAGCGUACGCGGUGAGACCCGAAAGAUGGUGAACUAUUCCUGAGCAGGACGAAGCCAGAGGAAACUCUGGUGGAAGUCCGAAGCGGUUCUGACGUGCAAAUCGAUCGUCUGACUUGGGUAUAGGGGCGAAAGACUAAUCGAACCA
This 651-nucleotide ribosomal RNA is filed under the name Meloidogyne incognita (southern root-knot nematode). RNAcentral's name for it is "partial large subunit ribosomal RNA". It matches the Rfam family "Eukaryotic large subunit ribosomal RNA", at positions 428 to 942 of the family's 3401-position model. The record is from RNAcentral. Lineage: Eukaryota; Metazoa; Nematoda; Chromadorea; Rhabditida; Meloidogynidae.